This 305-nucleotide ribosomal RNA is filed under the name uncultured bacterium. Its description in RNAcentral is "bacterial SSU rRNA". It matches the Rfam family "Bacterial small subunit ribosomal RNA", at positions 334 to 636 of the family's 1533-position model. The record is from RNAcentral.
GCGUCCUACGGGAGCCAGCAGUGAGGAAUAUUGGUCAAUGGACGAAAGUCUGAACCAGCCAUGCCGCGUGCAGGAAGACGGCUCUAUGAGUUGUAAACUGCUUUUGUACAAGGGUAAACCUGAAUACGUGUAUUCAGCUGAAAGUACUGUACGAAUAAGGAUCGGCUAACUCCGUGCCAGCAGCCGCGGUAAUACGGAGGAUCCAAGCGUUAUCCGGAUUUAUUGGGUUUAAAGGGUGCGUAGGCGGAUUGAUAAGUUAGAGGUGAAAUGUCAGGGCUCAACUCGGGAACUGCCUCUAAUACUGU